Molecule: long non-coding RNA, 2942 nt
Filed under: Gossypium barbadense (sea-island cotton)
Lineage: Eukaryota; Viridiplantae; Streptophyta; Magnoliopsida; Malvales; Malvaceae
Description: long non-coding RNA (GBAR_LNC001834)
Source: RNAcentral
CUGCAGGGACCGUCUUAUCCUUCAUGGUGGCACGCUCGACAGCUUUUGCAACUAUCGACUCAACAUCAGGACAGGUUUUCUCAUAAUGAUUCAAGCUAAGAGCAAUGGCUGGUGAAGUCGACGCAGACACGAGCAAAACUAAGGUCAGUACUGCUAUGAGUAAAGCCAUUUUAAAAACCACUUUGUCUUCUUUUAUCAAAUUCAAAGUAGCUUUUAGCUCGUUUUGUAUGGGAAAGUUUAGAGAUUCAUAGAGAUUAUUUAUAGUGAGCCAAAGGAUGUGCUAGUAACAAAGGUCACCUAUAGGUGGCCCCAUUGCAUAUGGUAAUGAAAUGCUUGAAGAAAAAAUUAUGAUGUAGUGUUUAUUAAGCAUGCUUCAUCCUACCACAAAAUCCCCAUGCAACUGAUCUUUGUCAUUUUCAUAUCCAUAUUGAAAAUAAUCCAAUUUUUUUUCUUUUUCUUUUUUUUUUUCCUUUUUUGCUUGUGUGAUAUUUGUAACUAUGGUUUGUUAGGAUUAAUUUACUAAUUUUUUACAUGUAAAUAGCAUGUAAUUAAAUCGAUAUAUUUAGUUAAAAUUUGAGUUGGCUAAUUCUCUAAUAUUUAUUUAUUCAUUUAUUUUUAAGUUGGGUAAUUUUAUGAAAUUUAUCUAUAAUGGGGAUUAGGCUGAGGCUUGUAGCCAUUGCUAAUGUUUGAUACAACAACAGGAAAAAGAUAGAUUCUCGUUUGUUCAAAAGGGAAGAGGUUAGGGUGUAACAAUCAGAGUAGUUAUUUGUGCUUAUAAAGCUUGUUCUCUAAGUCUCUUAACUUUAUCAAAUUAAGGCUAACCUUUUUGCUCUUUAGUAUUAUACUUUGCAAAAGGUGUUCACGGGUCCAGGUUAAAUAAAAGUAUAUGUUGAGUUGUUUGUCCUGAAUUGGUGGACUCGUAAAUAAAUUUAGUAUUGUCUUGGUAACAGUUUUGUCUCUCAACUUUGUUAAAAAUUUUAGUGUCUCUUUAAACCAUCUUUACAAGGACUCGCACUUAAACCAUCUUUACAAGGACUCGCACUUUCAACAGAGUUGGGAGACAAAAUUACCACCCGAGACAUAUCGAACUUAUUGAGGGGUCCACUAGCUCUAAACAAAUGACACUUUACAAACUUCUCUAAAAAAAUAAAAAAUCCCUCACCAGUAUAGUAUUAACAUCAUAGAUACGCACUUAAACUUAAGAUCAAUUCAAUAUGAAAUAUGAAUAUCAAAUUCUAUCUAGAUUUUUCUAUCAUAUUUGUAAAUUAAUGAUUGAGACUUUGAUUAAACCUUCACAUAUUUAUUUUUUUAAAUGUCUACCAAAUAUCGAAUUGAGCUUUAGAAACUUAGCUUUAACCCAUGUUUAUGUCUAAUGUAAGCAGAUUAGUCCAUUUAUAUUUUCUUUUGUUAGAUAUAUUUGUAUUUUUACAUUUGAUAUAACCUUUUACGUAUUAAUAACUCAUGUUAUAUAAUUUGUCAUAUUCAUAUAUUCAUUUUUUGUUUACAUUAUUCUUUUGGUAUCAUAUUUUAUUAUUUGUUUUCGUCUUUUAUUUUCAAAAUUGCUAGAGUAUUUACAUCGUAUCAUUGCAUUUAGCUUUGUCAAUUGGUGAGGACAUCAAGUUAUAUAAGAUGAGUCAAUUCGUGUAUCUAUUAUAUUUGUAUAUUAUAUUAGGUCAAAUUCUUCUAUUAGUCCCUAUGCUAUGCAUAAGUUCUGAAAUUAAUCUCUUGCUCCAAUUUAGUCCAUUUUAAUCUCUGUAUUUUUAUUUUUUGAAAUUUCAGUCAUGAAUUAAAUAGUAAUAGUUAAAUCCGUUAGAUUAAAAUUUACGUAAAUUAUGAAUUUAGUUCAUCUAAAAAUAACAAAAUGACAUGACAUUAUCUAUACGAUAAUAUUUUUUUCUCGUAAAAUUUUGGAAGUAACAUAAUUAACAAAUUUAAUGGCUAAUUAGGCUUUUUUUACCAUAAUGUUGAAAGUAUUAUAUAUCUAUUUUUUACCAUGAUGUUGAAAGUAUUAUAUAUCUACACAAAAUUUUGAUGUAUUAUAUAGUUUUUAUCGGAAAUUAUAAAUUUAAAGAAAAAAAAAAGCCGGAAACACCAAAAUUUUAUAACUUAGAAAUGUAAGUAAAUGCUGUAAAAAUAAUACUCAUUUAUCAAAAUCAAAACAUAUUUACAAACCUGUGUAAUUAUGCCACUAACAUGAAAAAACAAAACUAUAGUAAGUUAAAAAAUGUUUCCCCCAUUGUAUAAUCCUAAAACAAUAACAUACCCUAUGGUACAGGGUCUAGGUGAGGGGCACUUUGCAAUUAAAAAAAAUUAAAUUAGAGCAAAAUAUAGGACCAGAGCAAUUGUGAAUACAUAAGAAAAAGCUUUAAGUUGGGUUGAUUUAUUUGUCAUAGGUGGUGGAUAUGACCCUGGAGCUCCAGCAUUACUGCUGUUUCUGGCCGUUGCUUCCGGUUUAACGGCAGUAGCCGGAGGGACCGCUGAUGGUGGUAUCACCGGUAAAGUGUUUGAACUCUCGAUAUUGUAACCUGUGGAAAUUGGAUUGUUAAAAAGAUUUACGAGAUGAACUAGUGGAGGAGAUUGAAGAGAAGUUACUUACAAUCGGAUGCUUUCCAGCCAACUACCAUCUUUUCUCGAUCGAAGACUAUACGAUAACCGGUCAUGAAGUUUUCUGGAUCGGAUUUAAUAAAAAAAAUGUAAGUAGCAAUUGGAGAUUUUCCAACUCGAAAUACCUAAAAACUUCUAAUGGAAUGUUUGAUCAUUUGUAGAUAAGGAUCUUUACAAACAUCAUAUUGAUUAUGAGUUCAGUGUUUGUAAAUUGGAUCCAGAGAGACUUACGUCCGAUGAUAUUCACGCUGUCGCUUUUCACGACUGCCAAGCAAUAUAUAGCUCCACCCUGCAUGGGGAGCACUGCUAUUGGAUCAUUAACCAAAAGCUGAUCUCCG